GACAGAGGUGCCAAGCGUUAGUCGGAAUCACUGGGCUUAAAGCGUGUGUAGGUGGAUGUCUAAGUACCUUGUGAAAUCCCACGGCUCAACCGUGGAACUGCUGGGUAUACUGGAUGUCUUGAGUCAGCUAGGGGCUACCGGAACAAAUGGUGGAGCGGUGAAAUGCGUAGAUAUCAUUUGGAACGCCAAUGGUGAAAACAGGUAGCUGGGGCUGUGCUGACACUGAGACACGAAAGCCAGGGGAGCGAACGGG
RNAcentral lists this ribosomal RNA (253 nucleotides) under uncultured bacterium. RNAcentral's name for it is "partial 16S ribosomal RNA". It matches the Rfam family "Bacterial small subunit ribosomal RNA", at positions 524 to 776 of the family's 1533-position model. The record is from RNAcentral.